Molecule: ribosomal RNA, 167 nt
Filed under: Camellia gymnogyna
Lineage: Eukaryota; Viridiplantae; Streptophyta; Magnoliopsida; Ericales; Theaceae
Description: 5.8S ribosomal RNA
Rfam family: 5.8S ribosomal RNA
About the family: 5.8S ribosomal RNA (5.8S rRNA) is a component of the large subunit of the eukaryotic ribosome. It is transcribed by RNA polymerase I as part of the 45S precursor that also contains 18S and 28S rRNA. Functionally, it is thought that 5.8S rRNA may be involved in ribosome translocation.
Source: RNAcentral
AAACGACUCUCGGCAACGGAUAUCUCGGCUCUUGCAUCGAUGAAGAACGUAGCGAAAUGCGAUACUUGGUGUGAAUUGCAGAAUCCCGUGAACCAUCGAGUCUUUGAACGCAAGUUGCGCCUGAAGCCAUUAGGUUGAAGGCACGUCUGCCUGGGCGUCACGCAUUG